Molecule: long non-coding RNA, 167 nt
Organism: Mizuhopecten yessoensis (Yesso scallop)
Lineage: Eukaryota; Metazoa; Mollusca; Bivalvia; Pectinida; Pectinidae
Exons: 2
Source: RefSeq, a predicted model, not a curated record
UCCAUCCACUGUUUAUAUAAUUCUUCCUCGUGUGUUCUUUUAGAAAUUGACGCACUGAACAUACCGCCAAAACUUCCUCUAAGAGCUCCAGCGACAUUGAAGAUUUAAACCUUAACAGACAAAAAUUGAUAGGUGAGUUGUGCAUGUAAAGUCUGUUACAUAACAUU